CCUACGGGAGGCAGCAGUGAGGAAUAUUGGUCAAUGGCCGGAAGGCUGAACCAGCCAUGCCGCGUGAAGGUCAGUGCCCUAUGGGCGUUAAACUUCUUUUGUGCGGGAGCAAUAAUGGUCACGUGUGGCCAGACGAGAGUACCGUACGAAUAAGCAUCGGCUAACUCCGUGCCAGCAGCCGCGGUAAUACGGGGGAUGCAAGCGUUAUCCGGAUUUAUUGGGUUGAAGGGGUGCGUAGGCUGUGAGGUAAGUCAGCGGUGAAAUGCCCCCGCUCAACGGGGUGAAGUGCCAUUGAUACUGCCUUGCUGGAAUGCGGAUGCCGUGGGAGGAAUGUGUGGUGUAGCGGUGAAAGGCAUAGAUAUCACACAGAACACCGAUUGCUAAGGCAUCUCACGAAUCCGCGAUUGACGCUGAUGCACGAAAGCGUGGGUAUCAAACAGGAUUAGAUACCCCUGUAGUC
RNAcentral lists this ribosomal RNA (460 nucleotides) under uncultured bacterium. Its description in RNAcentral is "partial 16S ribosomal RNA". It matches the Rfam family "Bacterial small subunit ribosomal RNA", at positions 338 to 795 of the family's 1533-position model. The record is from RNAcentral.